Molecule: non-coding RNA, 510 nt
Organism: Labrus bergylta (ballan wrasse)
Lineage: Eukaryota; Metazoa; Chordata; Actinopteri; Labriformes; Labridae
Source: RefSeq, a predicted model, not a curated record
UUUUCACAGAGCCAUGAUGUCCAAAAGGAAGUCCAGGAUAAAGCCUGUCGAAGAUGCAAAGUCGUAAAUUCUGUCUUCGAGAGACAAGCCAUGGUUUGCAGAAAGAUUUAUCAACAAUAUCAAAGGAAGAGGAGUGUUUGCUACCCAACCAAUCGAGAAAGGUUCUUUUGUGUUGGAGUACAGGGGGGAAUUCAUAUCAGUGGAAGAAUGCCAAUCAAGGCACUACUCAGAGAUACAGAGUACAUUCCUGUAUGAAUUUGAUUGGCAGAAACGCAAGUGGUGUAUUGAUGCAUCCAAAGAAGAUGGUUCCCUUGGAAGGCUGUAAGCAAGAAGGCUUCUGCUGUGGCAGUAGAAGCAAACACCUUCCCUACAGUGCUGACUUCCCAUGAGGAUUCAAAGGGAGAUUAUGCUGGGGUACAGGUGACAUACAAGCAGACUUCUGCAGUGGAAGAAGAGACCGAUGUUCUUCCUGUUAAUCUGUCUUCCCAUGAUGAGGAUGAGGAUGCUAGC